RNAcentral lists this ribosomal RNA (468 nucleotides) under uncultured bacterium. RNAcentral describes it as "partial 16S ribosomal RNA". It matches the Rfam family "Bacterial small subunit ribosomal RNA", at positions 28 to 507 of the family's 1533-position model. The record is from RNAcentral.
GACGAACGCUGGCGGCGUGCUUAACACAUGCAAGUCGAACGGAAAGGCCCUGCUUUUGUGGGGUGCUCGAGUGGCGAACGGGUGAGUAACACGGGAGUAACCUGCCCUUGACUUUGGGAUAACUUCAGGAAACUGGGGCUAAUAACGGAUAGGAGCUCCUGCUGCAUGGUGGGGGUUGGAAAGUUUCGGCGGUUGGGGAUGGACUCGCGGCUUAUCAGCUUGUUGGUGGGGUAGUGGCUUACCAAGGCUUUGACGGGUAGCCGGCCUGAGAGGGUGACCGGCCACAUUGGGACUGAGGUACGGCCCAGACUCCUACGGGAGGCAGCAGUGGGGAAUAUUGCACAAUGGGCGGAAGCCUGAUGCAGCAACGCCGCGUGCGGGAUGACGGCCUUCGUGUUGUAAACCGCUUUCGCCUGUGACGAAGCGUGAGUGACGGUAAUGGGUAAAGAAGCACCGGCUAACUACGUG